GUCUUACUGGGGCCCCUGCACCCUUCUGCCAAGCAAUCAAUCUGUCUCCUGCUGUCAUGCAUGGCCCUGGGGCUUGGCCUCAACUUCCGCUCUGAGAUCAGAGCAGGCAUCGAGCAAAGAGAAGCCAGGCAGUGGGAGCAGACACCUCUGAGCCUGCAGGUAAUCAAAAUACUUGUUUGAUGUGAAAAGGAAGUACACCAACUGAGCCAUUCAGGGAGAAUUGAAAGGUUAACUCCACCGCAUGCCUCUUUUGAGUACAUGGAAGACGGUCUUUGAAAUGGGAGCAUCAUAUACCUCUCGGCUCCAUUAAGGCUGAGGAGACCAUGCAUGUAGACCAUGCAUGGGAAAACUCUCCUGAUCAACUUUACCUAACAG
This is a long non-coding RNA of Cebus imitator (Panamanian white-faced capuchin), 375 nucleotides long. RefSeq lists it as uncharacterized. The record is from RefSeq and is a predicted model, not a curated record. NCBI's taxonomy places the organism in Eukaryota, Metazoa, Chordata, Mammalia, Primates, Cebidae. The transcript is spliced from 3 exons.